Corvus hawaiiensis (hawaiian crow) is the source of this 1068-nucleotide long non-coding RNA. RefSeq lists it as uncharacterized. The transcript has 3 exons. The record is from RefSeq and is a predicted model, not a curated record. Lineage: Eukaryota; Metazoa; Chordata; Aves; Passeriformes; Corvidae.
CGGGGAGCCCCGGCGCAGCUUGGGAGCAGCGCGGCCUUAGCGGCGGCGGCAGAAGGGCGGGUCUGGGCCGCGCCGGCUGCGGGCGGAGCCGGUGGCGGAGUGGCGGGUCCUGUGACCCGCGUCUGUAUUUCUAAACUAUCUGAGCCUGUGUUAACCCUACUGGCAUUAACUGGAUUUUGUACCUGAUGAUUUGUGAGAAUGGGAAAAAAUACCAAGAACCCCUUGAAGCUCACCUGCGCUCCUCUAAUGAGGUUUCAUGCGCAAAAGGAUAUCCCUGCCGGGGAUAUGCUUCCUUUGGCUGGUUCGGCUGAAGUCUAAAUCGGCCUGGAGGCAAAGGCCAUGUCCAAAUCCUGCAGCAGGACAUGUUAUCAGAAUGUACUUAGAGUAGUCAUUAGUCCUUAGUGGGGAAAUAAAAAAGGAAGUGAUUAAUGAAAUGAUCCAUACAGUGUGGCUGCUCCAAGAGGAAGACACAAAUCCAAACACUGGUCUGAGUUUUGAAGACAAGAGGGUCACCAAACAGGAUGAAAGAAACUUACCCAACACCAAUUUGAUGUGAAUAAGGAGACGCUUCUUUAUUUCAGUGCAGAGGACACAUGGGAUUACUCCUCCAAACGUGUUCCACUUAGUAAACAAAAUCCAUCAAUUUUAUAUACUUUUUCUGCCAAGUCAUUGUUACAUAAGUUGUUUUACAUACUAUGCAUAAUACGUCUGCUCUGCUUAAAUUUAACCUUUGCAAUAAUUGGUUUUGCUAGUUAUAUAACUUCAUUAAUAUUUCUACCCUAAGACAAUCAUUGGUCAUCUCUACUGAGCUCUACUGAUUGGAAUCCUUGACAUUCAAAUUAAGAUGGGAAGUGUAGGGGGUUUCUGAGCAGCAUAACUGGUGUGCAUGAUGAUCUCCAUAGCUUCUUGAACAAAAUACAAAAAAUCCAGUAACUUCUUGGUUACACUUCUAUGGUUGCAUGUUUUAAACACAGCACUCCUAAUAUUGCUAUACCUUGUAUUUUACAAUUUCCUACUUGUAAUCAUAAAUAACUUUUAUAUGAUUAAAUCAAUUAUUUUAUUAGAAUA